This 561-nucleotide ribosomal RNA is filed under the name Plakortis sp. CU218. RNAcentral describes it as "SSU rRNA". It matches the Rfam family "Eukaryotic small subunit ribosomal RNA", at positions 34 to 587 of the family's 1831-position model. Lineage: Eukaryota; Metazoa; Porifera; Homoscleromorpha; Homosclerophorida; Plakinidae. The record is from RNAcentral.
GUCUCAAGACUAAGCCAUGCAUGUCUAAGUAUAAGCGACGUUAUACGGUGAAACUGCGAAUGGCUCAUUAAAUCAGUUAUAGUUUAUUUGAUGGUCUCUCACCACUUGGAUAACCGUGGUAAUUCUAGAGCUAAUACAUGCGUGGAGUCCCGACUUUUGUGGAAGGGAUGUAUUUAUUAGAUUCAAAACCAAUGCGGGGCCUCGGUCCCGGUGCUUUGGUGAUUCAUAGUAACUGUUCGGAGCGCAGGGCCCUCGCGCCGGCGCCGGAUCAUUCAAGUUUCUGCCCUAUCAACUGUCGAUGGUAAGGUAUUGGCUUACCAUGGUUGCAACGGGUGACGGAGAAUUAGGGUUCGAUUCCGGAGAGGGAGCCUGAGAAACGGCCACCACAUCCAAGGAAGGCAGCAGGCGCGCAAAUUACCCAAUCCCGACACGGGGAGGUAGUGACAAUAAAUAACAAUACAGGGCUUUCGUAAGUCUUGUAAUUGGAAUGAGAACAAUUUAAAUCCCUUAACGAGGAACAAUUGGAGGGCAAGUCUGGUGCCAGCAGCCGCGGUAAUUCCA